This 84-nucleotide ribosomal RNA is filed under the name Nannospalax galili (Upper Galilee mountains blind mole rat). Lineage: Eukaryota; Metazoa; Chordata; Mammalia; Rodentia; Spalacidae. The record is from RNAcentral.
ACUGACCAGCCCUAAAUGUGCCUGAUCUCAUCUGAUCCCAGAAGUUUGGCAGGGUCAGGCCUGGUUAAUACUUGGAUGACAGUC